GUCAGACAUGGUGGUGCAUGCCUGUAAUCUCAGUUACUUGGGAGGCUGAGGCAGGAGGAUUCCCAGUACGGGGUGUGUGGGGGGGAUAACUUGCUUUGA
This 99-nucleotide small RNA is filed under the name Marmota monax (woodchuck). The record is from RNAcentral. Lineage: Eukaryota; Metazoa; Chordata; Mammalia; Rodentia; Sciuridae.